GACGAACGCUGGCGGCGUGCCUAAUACAUGCAAGUAGGACGCUGAAGGAGGAGCUUGCUUCUCUGGAUGAGUUGCGAACGGGUGAGUAACGCGUAGGUAACCUGCCUGGUAGCGGGGGAUAACUAUUGGAAACGAUAGCUAAUACCGCAUAAUAGUAGAUGUUGCAUGACAUUUGCUUAAAAGGUGCAAUUGCAUCACUACCAGAUGGACCUGCGUUGUAUUAGCUAGUUGGUGGGGUAACGGCUCACCAAGGCGACGAUACAUAGCCGACCUGAGAGGGUGAUCGGCCACACUGGGACUGAGACACGGCCCAGACUCCUACGGGAGGCAGCAGUAGGGAAUCUUCGGCAAUGGACGGAAGUCUGACCGAGCAACGCCGCGUGAGUGAAGAAGGUUUUCGGAUCGUAAAGCUCUGUUGUAAGAGAAGAACGAGUGUGAGAGUGGAAAGUUCACAAUGUGACGGUAUCUUAUCAGAAAGGGACGGCUAACUACGUG
This 495-nucleotide ribosomal RNA is filed under the name uncultured bacterium. RNAcentral's name for it is "partial 16S ribosomal RNA". It matches the Rfam family "Bacterial small subunit ribosomal RNA", at positions 28 to 507 of the family's 1533-position model. The record is from RNAcentral.